Molecule: long non-coding RNA, 2351 nt
Organism: Gallus gallus (chicken)
Lineage: Eukaryota; Metazoa; Chordata; Aves; Galliformes; Phasianidae
Source: Ensembl
ACUGGAGAUCCCUGCAUGUCUGAGACCUUCUGAAGGCAAAACCCAGGAACAGCCUCAAAAUUAUUUCCUGCCAGAAGCAGAGGGUUAAAGAGGGAAGCGAGAAGGAGGAGACGGCGCAGGUGAGUGUUUAUGCUAUCCAAAUGGUGACUGGUGCACAGAGCAGAACCCACACCCACCUCCUUCCUGCCCCGGGAACCUGGGCAGAGCAGCAAUGUCCCUGCAGGGCUCAGGGAGCGUGAGAAAACCAACGGCACACAGCAGUUCAGAGCCCCACCUCGCCCAGGGCAGGAGGAGCAGAGCCUACAGCACCCCAGGAAAGUCAGAGACAGCACUGCAGCCCGUGGAGCUGCAGGAAGAGGAGUAAAGCCAUGCACUGAAUUAGCCUGCACAGCAGCCGAUGGGAUCAUGAGAACCAAUGGAGUUUUUCACAGUAUUUUUUCCUUAUGGAAUUUGCCCUCUCAGCCUUCUCUUUCCCAGGCUGAACAGCCCCAGGGCUCUCAGCCCUUCCCCAUAAGGGAGAUGCUAUGCUGGCCACACUCUUUGUGAUGCACCCCAGGGUACCAUUGGCCUUCUUGGCCAUCAGAGCACACUGCAGGCUCAUGGUCAAUGUUAGUCAACCACUGGUCAAUAUGGAUGUGCCCCAGGGCUGCUCCUUCCCUAAGUGCCCAGGACGAAGAGCAUCCUCUGCCUGGACCAGGGAAGCCAGGGGUUAUCCUUAUUCCAAGGCACAGAUCUGAAAUAUUUUGGCUAGACAUUGAUAUUUCAAAAAGGAUGAGUGAUUCUAGAGAACACAGCUGCUGUUCAAAACACCCCGUUUUCUUAAAGUCUUCUUGGAGGACUCCCAGGCAUAAUUUAUUCAGUACAAACUUGCCAAUGCUUGUGGUUCUGCAAGGCUGCCCCAUGCCCAGCUGCCAGCAGUGCAGAUCCACCAUCUCCUCCCCUCUAGCAAUGGGCAGCUAUCGUUUGCUCACAGCCACCUGCCCAGCUUUGCAGGGCUUGAAGGACAGCUUGCUUGCAUUAUUUGUUGAAGCAGCCAAACACAAAGUCUCCUUUGGCUGAGCUGAACAACCACAUCUGAAAAACUUUCCCUACCGCCCUGGCCUUUAUUGCUCAUUCCUCGUUAGGAAAAAUCUCUUAGGGUCAAUCCACCCUCACCUGGGCAGCUUAAAAUUAAACACCGAGGCAGUCACUCUGGGUUCCCCACAGAGCCAGUGGAGAAACCACAUGGUUUAUCCAUCAUAAGACAGAGACGGAAGGAGGGGCUAAUUAAUAAUUUUCUAUUUCCACUGUCAAUUAAAGGGGCCCAGAUGGAGAUAAGUGAUGCUCAGACGUAGCUUGGUGGCCUGAACGUCAUCCUUUAUCUUUUGUGAGCACAUAUGGACAAAGACACACGAGUACUGUAUUGCAAAGGGCCAGCCUUCAUUCCUAGGGUGCUGAGCUAGCACUGUGCUGCCAGGACAGGAUGCUACACAUCUUCUGGGUCUUUCUGACAUGAGAGUGAAACAAGCAGCAGAUCAGCAUCCAGGAGGCAAAGCUUCGCAGUCACGCACCAUGGGCGUGCUCCCAGCUCUUGUCUUGCCAUCCCCACUUGCACCACUCCUCCUUUUCUGAAAAUCCCAGCUCCUGGACUCACUGAGCUACGUAAGGCAUUCACUUUCCUCUUUUCCUAAGAAAAAGCCUACAGAGAAAAUCUUGACAUGCUCAGCACCACCCAUGUGCCGGAGGGUAACACAUGGUUACGGUGAGGAUUAAGAGGACUUCACUGCAAAUAGUUGGGCUGUUUGACUCAUGCUCAGGGCUUUGUUUGUUUUGCUCAUCCCUGGAUGGAAAGGCUUCUAACUGGAUUUCCUUAGCAAUUUGUGGCUGCUUUCACUGUCUCUGGUCGAUGUAAAGCAAUGCAAAGAGGCUGGUGGCUAUCAAAGCUGCAGAGUCUCCAGCCUGGAUUCCUCUGGUGCUGCUCUGCCUCAGCCAGGAAAUGAGAGCUGGAAGUCACAUAACCAGUGUUGGCAACCCACAGAGUCAAUGGAAAUCAUAGAACCAUCGAAUCAUUGCCACUGGAAAAGACCACUGAGAUCACCACCAAGUUCAAACCCAACCCAUCCCACCAUACCCACUGACAACCUCCCUCAGUGCCACAUCUCCACACUUCUGGAACCCCUCUGGGGAUGAUGGCUCUACCACUGCCCUGGGAAGCCUACUCCAUACCUCGCCACCCCUUCUGAGUAAAAAUUUUUCCUAAUAUCCAACCUGAAUGAGGAAUCUUAUGCCCAAAACAGGGAUACCAUGAAUCUGCUCUUUGUGUCCAGCAAGGCAAGGAAACAAGACUUGUAUUGCAGAAUUUGCCAAGGGUU